GUCGGUGUGUCCGAGUGGUUAAGGAGACAGACUAGAAAUCUGUUGGGCUCUGCCCGCACAGGUUCAAACCCUGUCGCCGACG
Molecule: transfer RNA, 82 nt
Filed under: Zancudomyces culisetae
Lineage: Eukaryota; Fungi; Kickxellomycota; Harpellomycetes; Harpellales; Legeriomycetaceae
Rfam family: tRNA
About the family: Transfer RNA (tRNA) molecules are approximately 80 nucleotides in length.
Source: Rfam by way of RNAcentral